UCGCCCGCCGCGCGCGGCGGGCGGGGCGGGGGCACGGGGGGCCUACGGGAGGCAGCAGUAGGGAAUAUUGCACAAUGGAGGAAACUCUGAUGCAGCGACGCCGCGUGAGUGAUGAAGGACUUCGGUUCGUAAAGCUCUGUCGUAUGGGAAUAAGAAAGUGAAUGUACCAUGCAAGAAAGGAUCGGCUAACUUCGUGCCAGCAGCCGCGGUAAUA
This 214-nucleotide ribosomal RNA is filed under the name uncultured bacterium. Its description in RNAcentral is "partial 16S ribosomal RNA". It matches the Rfam family "Bacterial small subunit ribosomal RNA", at positions 284 to 525 of the family's 1533-position model. The record is from RNAcentral.